ACUUAAGCAUAUCAAUAAGCGGAGGAAAAGAAACCAACAGGGAUUACCUCAGUAACGGCGAGUGAAGCGGUAACAGCUCAAAUUUGAAAUCUGGCUCUUUCAGGGUCCGAGUUGUAAUUUGUAGAAGAUGCUUCGGGUGUGGCCCCGGUCUAAGUUCCUUGGAACAGGACGUCAUAGAGGGUGAGAAUCCCGUAUGUGACUGGGUGCCUUCGCUCAUGUGAAGCUCUUUCGACGAGUCGAGUUGUUUGGGAAUGCAGCUCAAAAUGGGUGGUAAAUUUCAUCUAAAGCUAAAUAUUGGCCAGAGACCGAUAGCGCACAAGUAGAGUGAUCGAAAGAUGAAAAGCACUUUGGAAAGAGAGUUAAACAGUACGUGAAAUUGUUGAAAGGGAAGCGCUUGCAACCAGACUUGCACGUUGUCGAUCAUCCGGGGCUCGCCCCGGUGCACUCGAUUUCGUUCAGGCCAGCAUCGGUUUCGGUGGUGGGAUAAAGGCCUUGGGAAUGUAGCUUCUUUCGGGGAGUGUUAUAGCCCUCGGUGCAAUGCCGCCUACCGGGACCGAGGACCGCGCUUCGGCUAGGAUGCUGGCGUAAUGGUUGUAAGCGACCCGUCUUGAAACACGGACCAAGGAGUCUAACAUCUAUGCGAGUGUUUGGGUGUCAAACCCAUACGCGUAAUGAAAGUGAACGGAGGUGAGAACCCUUAAGGGUGCAUCAUCGACCGAUCCUGAUGUCUUCGGAUGGAUUUGAGUAAGAGCAUAGCUGUUGGGACCCGAAAGAUGGUGAACUAUGCGUGAAUAGGGUGAAGCCAGAGGAAACUCUGGUGGAGGCUCGCAGCGGUUCUGACGUGCAAAUCGAUCGUCAAAUUUGCGUAUAGGGGCGAAAGACUAAUCGAACCAUCUUAAUUCGUC
RNAcentral lists this ribosomal RNA (905 nucleotides) under Heterosphaeria umbilicata. Its description in RNAcentral is "Heterosphaeria sp. WJL-2020a partial large subunit ribosomal RNA". It matches the Rfam family "Eukaryotic large subunit ribosomal RNA", at positions 32 to 956 of the family's 3401-position model. The record is from RNAcentral. Lineage: Eukaryota; Fungi; Ascomycota; Leotiomycetes; Helotiales; Heterosphaeriaceae.